Molecule: ribosomal RNA, 500 nt
Filed under: uncultured bacterium
Lineage: Bacteria
Description: partial 16S ribosomal RNA
Rfam family: Bacterial small subunit ribosomal RNA
Source: RNAcentral
AUUGAACGCUGGCGGAAUGCUUUACACAUGCAAGUCGAACGGCAGCACGGGGGCAACCCUGGUGGCGAGUGGCGAACGGGUGAGUAAUACAUCGGAACGUGCCCAGUCGUGGGGGAUAACGUAGCGAAAGUUACGCUAAUACCGCAUACGAUCUACGGAUGAAAGCGGGGGACCGUAAGGCCUCGCGCGAUUGGAGCGGCCGAUGUCAGAUUAGGUAGUUGGUGAGGUAAAGGCUCACCAAGCCGACGAUCUGUAGCUGGUCUGAGAGGACGAGCAGCCACAUUGGGACUGAGACACGUCCCAGACUCCUACGGGAGGCAGCAGUGGGGAAUUUUGGAAAAUGGGCGCAAGCCUGAUCCAGCCAUUCCGCGUGCAGGACGAAGGCCUUCGGGUUGUAAACUGCUUUUGUACUGAACGAAAAGGCUCUGGUUAAUACCUGGGGCUCAUGACGGUACCGUAAGAAUAAGCACCGGCUAACUACGUGCCAGCCGCCGCGGUAA